This 771-nucleotide ribosomal RNA is filed under the name uncultured bacterium. RNAcentral describes it as "bacterial SSU rRNA". It matches the Rfam family "Bacterial small subunit ribosomal RNA", at positions 8 to 796 of the family's 1533-position model. The record is from RNAcentral.
AGAGUUUGAUCAUGGCUCAGGACGAACGCUGGCGGCGUGCCUAACACAUGCAAGUCGAGCGGAAAGGCCCUUCGGGGUACUCGAGCGGCGAACGGGUGAGUAACACGUGAGCAAUCUGCCCUUAGCUCUGGGAUAGCUCCGGGAAACCGGAAUUAAUACCGGAUAUGACUGCGGCCGACAUCGGCUGCGGUGGAAAGAUUUAUCGGCUAGGGAUGAGCUCGCGGCCUAUCAGCUAGUUGGUGGGGUAAUGGCCUACCAAGGCGACGACGGGUAGCCGGCCUGAGAGGGCGACCGGCCACACUGGGACUGAGACACGGCCCAGACUCCUACGGGAGGCAGCAGUGGGGAAUCUUGCGCAAUGGGCGAAAGCCUGACGCAGCGACGCCGCGUGGGGGAUGAAGGCCUUCGGGUUGUAAACCCCUUUCAGCAGGGACGAAGCGAAAGUGACGGUACCUGCAGAAGAAGCGCCGGCUAACUACGUGCCAGCAGCCGCGGUAACACGUAGGGCGCAAGCGUUGUCCGGAAUUAUUGGGCGUAAAGAGCUCGUAGGCGGUCUGCCACGUCCGCUGUGAAAGCCUAGGGCUUAACCCUGGGUCUGCAGUAGAUACGGGUAGACUAGAGGUAGGUAGGGGAGAAUGGAAUUCCCGGUGUAGCGGUGAAAUGCGCAGAUAUCGGGAGGAACACCGGUGGCGAAGGCGGUUCUCUGGGCCUUACCUGACGCUGAGGAGCGAAAGCGUGGGGAGCAAACAGGAUUAGAUACCCCCGUAGUCC